RNAcentral lists this ribosomal RNA (305 nucleotides) under uncultured bacterium. Its description in RNAcentral is "bacterial SSU rRNA". It matches the Rfam family "Bacterial small subunit ribosomal RNA", at positions 337 to 658 of the family's 1533-position model. The record is from RNAcentral.
GCCUACGGGGGGCAGCAGUGGGGAAUAUUGCCCAAUGGGGGAAACCCUGAUGCAGCGACGCCGCGUGAGCGAGGAAGUAUUUCAGUAUGUAAAGCUCUGUCAGCAGGGAAGAAGAAUGACGGUACCUGAAGAAGAAGCACCGGCUAAAUACGUGCCAGCAGCCGCGGUAAUACGUAUGGUGCAAGCGUUAUCCGGAUUUACUGGGUGUAAAGGGAGCGCAGGCGGUUCUGCAAGCCUGAUGUGAAAGCCCGGGGCUCCACCGCGGGACUGCCUUGGAAACUGCGGGACUGGAGUGUCGGAGGGGG